CUCUGCCUGUGAUUUCAGGUGCAAAAGGCAUUGUGCUUUUGCUCUACAAAGGCUUCUCUGAAGUUCCCAAUGACAUUUAGGCAGUGCUUGGAAUACUUGGAAAAACUGAGUACAAGAAACCUACGAAAUAAAGGCAUCUACUUUGCUACUACGGUGCUCCUUACUUUGAUUAAGAGGAGAAGAAUGGGAUCUCCUUGUUCAGUCAUUUUAGCAGGUUACCUUGUACCUUACAACCAAGUUGAGGUGUUGAGGUCACUGUUGUUUCCUGCAUACAGACCCUCACAAAAAGCUCUCUCAGGACUUGCUCUUGUGAGGGUUCAGAAUCAUUCAGUAAAUGCACUCAGUACAGAAGAAGACCAGUCCCAGUUUGAUCAGCAAACUCAAGAGCAAGAAACACACAAACAUGAGAACAUGCUCUGUGUCUUCUCAGUGGAGGUGCAUCCAAUUUGA
Molecule: long non-coding RNA, 450 nt
Filed under: Ficedula albicollis (Collared flycatcher)
Lineage: Eukaryota; Metazoa; Chordata; Aves; Passeriformes; Muscicapidae
Description: lncRNA (ENSFALG00000027020.1)
Source: RNAcentral